RNAcentral lists this ribosomal RNA (850 nucleotides) under uncultured bacterium. Its description in RNAcentral is "bacterial SSU rRNA". It matches the Rfam family "Bacterial small subunit ribosomal RNA", at positions 67 to 910 of the family's 1533-position model. The record is from RNAcentral.
CGGCAGCACGGGAGCUUGCUCCUGGUGGCGAGUGGCGAACGGGUGAGUAAUGCAUCGGAACGUGCCCUGAAGUGGGGGAUAACGUAGCGAAAGUUACGCUAAUACCGCAUAUUCUGUGAGCAGGAAAGCAGGGGAUCUUCGGACCUUGCGCUUUUGGAGCGGCCGAUGUCGGAUUAGCUAGUUGGUGGGAUAAAGGCCCACCAAGGCGACGAUCCGUAGCGGGUCUGAGAGGAUGAUCCGCCACACUGGAACUGAGACACGGUCCAGACUCCUACGGGAGGCAGCAGUGGGGAAUUUUGGACAAUGGGCGCAAGCCUGAUCCAGCCAUGCCGCGUGAGUGAAGAAGGCCUUCGGGUUGUAAAGCUCUUUCGGUGGGGAAGAAAUUGCUUGGGUUAAUACCCUGAGUAGAUGACGGUACCCGCAUAAGAAGCACCGGCUAACUACGUGCCAGCAGCCGCGGUAAUACGUAGGGUGCGAGCGUUAAUCGGAAUUACUGGGCGUAAAGCGUGCGCAGGCGGUUUUGUAAGUCAGAUGUGAAAUCCCCGGGCUCAACCUGGGAACUGCAUUUGAGACUGCAAGGCUAGAGUGUGGCAGAGGGGGGUAGAAUUCCACGUGUAGCAGUGAAAUGCGUAGAGAUGUGGAGGAAUACCGAUGGCGAAGGCAGCCCCCUGGGUCACUACUGACGCUCAUGCACGAAAGCGUGGGAGCAAACAGGAUUAGAUACCCUGGUAGUCCACGCCCUAAACGAUGUCAACUAGGUGUCGGGAGGGUUAAACCUUUUAGUGCCGUAGCUAACGCGUGAAGUUGACCGCCUGGGGAGUACGGCCGCAAGGCUAAAACUCAAAGGAAU